Molecule: transfer-messenger RNA, 379 nt
Filed under: Bacteriovoracaceae
Lineage: Bacteria; Pseudomonadati; Bdellovibrionota; Bacteriovoracia; Bacteriovoracales
Also listed under: 1 other name
Description: JADGAN01 sp015231325 Standard tmRNA
Rfam family: transfer-messenger RNA
About the family: Bacterial tmRNA, also known as 10Sa RNA or SsrA, is named for its dual tRNA and mRNA-like properties. Its role is to liberate the mRNA from a stalled ribosome.
Source: RNAcentral
GGGGGUGUCUGGUUUCGACAGGGAGAUUGCGGGUUGAGUGGGCGUGCCUAGGUUGGUCUCCAGGCCUAGUCAAAAGGAGACUCAAAGUUUUAAAUGCCGACGUAAAUGUCGAAGAAUAUGCAAUGGCCGCUUAAUUGCCCAUUGCUGUUCUGAGGGUGCCAAUGCCCGAUAACAACAAUAUUGGCAAAGAAGGGGUGAGAGACCUUCUCAAAAAUCUCUCCGUUGACUUGUCGGGAUGACAACGUAAAAAAUCACCGAGUUUUCUCUGCUGUUACAAAUGGCAGAUAGUCUGUCUGAGAGCGAUAUUCUUAGACUACGCACGUAGUCCCUCUACUAGUGGUUUUUCUGGACGUGGGUUCGAUUCCCACCACCUCCACCA